Molecule: ribosomal RNA, 1150 nt
Filed under: Kocuria sp.
Lineage: Bacteria; Bacillati; Actinomycetota; Actinomycetes; Micrococcales; Micrococcaceae
Description: bacterial SSU rRNA
Source: RNAcentral
AUGCAAGUCGAACGCUGAAGCACCAGCUUGCUGGUGUGGAUGAGUGGCGAACGGGUGAGUAAUACGUGAGUAACCUGCCCUUGACUCUGGGAUAAGCCCGGGAAACUGGGUCUAAUACUGGAUGCUACAUGUCACCGCAUGGUGGUGUGUGGAAAGGGUUUACUGGUCUUGGAUGGGCUCACGGCCUAUCAGCUUGUUGGUGAGGUAAUGGCUCACCAAGGCGACGACGGGUAGCCGGCCUGAGAGGGUGACCGGCCACACUGGGACUGAGACACGGCCCAGACUCCUACGGGAGGCAGCAGUGGGGAAUAUUGCACAAUGGGCGAAAGCCUGAUGCAGCGACGCCGCGUGAGGGAUGACGGCCUUCGGGUUGUAAACCUCUUUCAGCAGGGAAGAAGCCACAAGUGACGGUACCUGCAGAAGAAGCGCCGGCUAACUACGUGCCAGCAGCCGCGGUAAUACGUAGGGCGCAAGCGUUGUCCGGAAUUAUUGGGCGUAAAGAGCUCGUAGGCGGUUUGUCGCGUCUGCUGUGAAAGCCCGGGGCUUAACCCCGGGUGUGCAGUGGGUACGGGCAGACUAGAGUGCAGUAGGGGAGACUGGAAUUCCUGGUGUAGCGGUGGAAUGCGCAGAUAUCAGGAGGAACACCGAUGGCGAAGGCAGGUCUCUGGGCUGUUACUGACGCUGAGGAGCGAAAGCAUGGGGAGCGAACAGGAUUAGAUACCCUGGUAGUCCAUGCCGUAAACGUUGGGCACUAGGUGUGGGGGACAUUCCACGUUUUCCGCGCCGUAGCUAACGCAUUAAGUGCCCCGCCUGGGGAGUACGGCCGCAAGGCUAAAACUCAAAGGAAUUGACGGGGGCCCGCACAAGCGGCGGAGCAUGCGGAUUAAUUCGAUGCAACGCGAAGAACCUUACCAAGGCUUGACAUAUACCGGAUCGUUCCAGAGAUGGUUCUUCCCCUUUGGGGUCGGUAUACAGGUGGUGCAUGGUUGUCGUCAGCUCGUGUCGUGAGAUGUUGGGUUAAGUCCCGCAACGAGCGCAACCCUCGUUCMUGUUGCCAGCACGUGAUGGUGGGGACUCAUGGGAGACUGCCGGGUCACUCGGAGGAAGGKGGGGAUGACGUCAAUCAUCAUGCCCCUUAUGUCUGGGCUUC